This 327-nucleotide ribosomal RNA is filed under the name uncultured eukaryote. RNAcentral describes it as "partial 18S ribosomal RNA". It matches the Rfam family "Eukaryotic small subunit ribosomal RNA", at positions 1470 to 1796 of the family's 1831-position model. The record is from RNAcentral.
CCCUUAGAUGUUCUGGGCCGCACGCGCGCUACACUGAUUCAUGCAACAAGUUUUGUCCUUGGCUGAUAGGCCUGGGUAAUCUUUGAACGUGAAUCGUGAUGGGGAUAGAUGAUUGCAAUUAUUCAUCUUCAACGAGGAAUUCCUAGUAAACGCAAGUCAUCAGCUUGCACUGAUUACGUCCCUGCCCUUUGUACACACCGCCCGUCGCACCUACCGAUUGAAUGGUCCGGUGAAAUCUUCGGAUCUGAGAGAUGUCUGAUUAAUUUCGGACGCCUUUUGGAAAAGUUGUUUAAACCUUACCAUUUAGAGGAAGGUGAAGUCGUAACA